RNAcentral lists this unclassified non-coding RNA (2123 nucleotides) under uncultured fungus. RNAcentral's name for it is "sequence contains 18S rRNA gene, ITS1, 5.8S rRNA gene, ITS2, 28S rRNA gene". The stretch from base 1001 to 2123 matches the Rfam family "Eukaryotic large subunit ribosomal RNA", at positions 1 to 961 of the family's 3401-position model. The record is from RNAcentral. Lineage: Eukaryota; Fungi.
GGAGGGAUCAUUAACACGUUUCUCAAAAAAACGUAUCCAACCCAAUAACCCCGUGAACAAACAAAACUCCCUUCAUAGUCGGACGACGGAACAAUCAUCAGGGUGGACUCUUUCUUGUCGGUAUGGACAUCACACGGAAACGUGCGGUGAACCCAGCUAUGAAAGUCUAUGACUCGGUCUAGGGACUCAUCGAGGUCUCAAUCCGCUAUGAAGUGUCUUUGCGACCACCUGGCAGACUACAAACCUGUGUAGCCCGCAUCAACGCAACCGAUUCAUUUCGGGAGCGUCGCGGAUCCCUAUACAGCAGCGUAGCGUUCUGCCGAAUCUAUUUAACCCAAAUUUUUUAACCCCUUUAACAACAUACUAAUAACUGAACCAUUUUCAAUCGUACGAUUGUGACCCGACGAGCGGACCCAAAUAAGUGAGUGAUUCAUCUUCGGGUGUUUUGCGAGCCUUGGCCGUGAGGGAGGAAGCUUCGUGUGAGCGGAAUUGAUAUACGUAAUGCUGAACAACUCUUAGCAAUGGAUAUCUUGGUUCUCGUAACGAUGAAGAACGCAGCGAAAUGCGAUACGUAAUGCGAAUUGCAGAAUUCAGUGAAUCAUCAAAUCUUUGAACGCAAAUGGCGCUCUCGGGAUAUGCCCGGGAGCAUGCCUCUCUGAGUAUCGGUUCUAUCAAUCGACGUCAGCGUGCUUACUAGCAAUAGUAACGACAUCGACAGACGGCGGAAAAUGAGCGUCUGGCUGCGCAAGCAAGCUAGUCACUUUAAAUGGAUAGAAGCUUGGAUCGCACUAGAAGGCUCCUGUUCUUCGGAAUGGGAUUAGCAAGACUCCGAUAUGGGCUCUGCACUUUACUAGUGACGUGGAUAGAAGUACCACUUGCUGGUCUUUCAAAACGUCUGCUGGUGUUGUAUGGUAGCUUGUGAGUCUCUGUGAAGCUCUAGACCGCAAUCCUUGUCUUGUCAAUCGAAUUCUAACAGUGUUACAGCUGUUAUUUUUGAAUUAGAUCUCAGAUGAAGCAAGAGGACCCCCUGAAUUUAAGCAUAUUAUUAAGGGGAGGAAAAGAAACUAACAAGGAUUCCCCUAGUAACGGCGAGUGAAGCGGGAAAUAGCUCAAUCUGGGAAUCGAGAGUGGAAGCCCACGCCUCGAAUUGUAGCCUAGAGACGUGUUGUCAGCGUGUGACCUCGGUACAAGUCCUUUGAAACAGGGCAUCAUAGAGGGUGAGAAUCCCGUCUCUGACCGAGAGUUCGCCGCGUACGACGCAUGUUCGACGAGUCGAGUUGUUUGGGAUUGCAGCUCUAAAUGGGUGGUAAAUUUCAUCUAAAGCUAAAUAUCGACGAGAGACCGAUAGCGAACAAGUACCGUGAGGGAAAGAUGAAAAGAACUUUGAAAAGAGAGUUAAAAAGUACUUGAAAUUGUUAAGAGGGAAGCGCUAGCAAGCAGUCAUGACACGCAGCUAUACUUAGUAGUGGACACCGAAAUCGACUGCGGACCAGAUCGCAAGACUGUGUCGGGAAGAGGACGAGUGGCUGCUGCGUCAUAUAGUUGUGUGUGGGUCAGAGUCAAUUCGGGUGCGCAGCUGAAGGCAUGCAGAAAGGUAGGGUCUCCGGACCUGUUAUAGUCUGUGUGCUGUACUGUGCCCUGGAUUGAGGAUUGAUAAUGGACGCCGUAAGGUUUCGGCGCGGCUCUUCUGUUGGGCGGCGUGGCUCCGAGGACAAUGUCCUGUGGGUUGCGCCUGUCUGAUCCUGGGUGUCGCUGCCAGAUGUCCAUUCGCGAUUCUGACGAAAUGCUUGCUAUCGACCCGUCUUGAAACACGGACCAAGGAGUCUAACAUAUAUGCGAGUAUUUGGGUGCCAAACUCGGAUGCGUAAUGAAAGUAAAGGUAGCUUCGGCUGCUGAGGUAGGAAGGGUGUCAAAACCUGGCACUAUCGACCGAUCGUCACUUGUGAUUGAUUUGAGUGCGAGCAUAUCUGUUGGGACCCGAAAGAUGGUGAUCUAUGCCUGAACAGGGUGAAGCCAGGGGAAACUCUGGUGGAGGCUCGUAGCGAUACUGACGUGCAAAUCGUUCGUCUGAUUUGGGUAUAGGGGCGAAAGACUAAUCGAACCAUCUAGUAGCUGGUUCCCUC